Molecule: ribosomal RNA, 332 nt
Filed under: uncultured eukaryote
Lineage: Eukaryota
Description: partial 18S ribosomal RNA
Rfam family: Eukaryotic small subunit ribosomal RNA
Source: RNAcentral
CGGUACCCGGGGAGAUAUAGCUCGUAGUCGAUCUUCUAAGAGUGCUGUCAUGGAGUAAUUCGUGACUGGGACUCUUAUCUGACCGAGACCUUCGUUCGUGCUUCACUGUUACGAUGAAGUAAAUCGGUCACUUUACUGAGAAAAAAUUAGAGUGUUCAAAACAGGCAUUGCGCCUUGAAUACACAAGCUUGGAAUAAUAGAAUAUGACCUGAGUCUUUUUGUUGGUUUGAAGACUUUGGUAAUGGUUAAUAAAAACAGUGGGGGGAUUAGUAUCUUAUUGUCAGGAGAAAAAAUUCUUGGUUUUAUAAAAAACCCACCUAUCCUAUAGCUUA